CGCGGCCUAUCAGCUUGUUGGUGAGGUAAUGGCUCACCAAGGCGACGACGGGUAGCCGGCCUGAGAGGGCGACCGGCCACACUGGGACUGAGACACGGCCCAGACUCCUACGGGAGGCAGCAGUGGGGAAUAUUGCACAAUGGGCGAAAGCCUGAUGCAGCGACGCCGCGUGAGGGAUGACGGCCUUCGGGUUGUAAACCUCUUUCAGCAGGGAAGAAGCGAAAGUGACGGUACCUGCAGAAGAAGCGCCGGCUAACUACGUGCCAGCAGCCGCGGUAAUACGUAGGGCGCAAGCGUUGUCCGGAAUUAUUGGGCGUAAAGAGCUCGUAGGCGGCUUGUCACGUCGGGUGUGAAAGCCCGGGGCUUAACCCCGGGUCUGCAUUCGAUACGGGCUAGCUAGAGUGUGGUAGGGGAGAUCGGAAUUCCUGGUGUAGCGGUGAAAUGCGCAGAUAUCAGGAGGAACACCGGUGGCGAAGGCGGAUCUCUGGGCCAUUACUGACGCUGAGGAGCGAAAGCGUGGGGAGCGAACAGGAUUAGAUACCCUGGUAGUCCACGCCGUAAACGGUGGGAACUAGGUGUUGGCGACAUUCCACGUCGUCGGUGCCGCAGCUAACGCAUUAAGUUCCCCGCC
RNAcentral lists this ribosomal RNA (631 nucleotides) under uncultured bacterium. Its description in RNAcentral is "bacterial SSU rRNA". It matches the Rfam family "Bacterial small subunit ribosomal RNA", at positions 232 to 873 of the family's 1533-position model. The record is from RNAcentral.